AUCGGGCCGUUGAGGCAACCGAUGUAAAAUGUUGCAUAUAUAUUUUGUUUUUAAAAAAAGUGGAUUUUUUUCAUAUCAGACAUACAAUUAAACCGAUGUGGUAUGUGUAUUUUUCACAUCGGGUUGUGGCCCGAAGGAUGAUGGCGUUCAUCCAGAUUCGCUUGAUGAGAACCUUAAGGAACUGAUGAAGUAGGUUGAUGUUAAGUGAACAAAGUAUGGGAUCGUGUUGGGUGACACACGAGAAGCACAGUCAAAGGCUUGGAACAGCAUUAAAGCAGCGUAGACAUGCUAGUCAGAGAAUGAUGUUGCGUUGUCCUAGUGAUCAAGACGGUGAAACCUUUCAUUCAACGGUGGCUGUUACUAUUUCGUUACCGUCUUUUCUUCAUCGUUCUAGUUCUUACCAUCAUCGGUCUUCUGUUGUUUCUCACUAGUUUCCGUUACCAGAAUCGCCGUUGACUCCACGACCUCAUCAUCAUGCUACGUUACCCUUUUCCAGGCAACAGCUCUAGUAAAGAUACUAGAAAACACUCAUGACAAUUUAUAUGAAGCUAUUUCCAAAUUCAAGUUUCAAUUUACUGCUACCAAUACCUCAACAAGCAUAUUCUCCAGUCUUGUUACUAGUUCUAGAAGAAUAAGCAGCGUAGAGAAGGAAAACUAAUUGGACGAGGAUCAUUUGGAAGUGUUUAUCAUGCAACAAACCUAGAUACUGGAGCCUCACGCGCUAUGAAAGUGGUAAAUCUGUUUCCUAAUGAUCCUAAAUUGACAUGGUGUCCUGUUUUAUGUGAUAAUAAUCAGAUGAGUUCAAUCAUUAAAUAGUUUAAUAGUUUAUGAAAACACUGCAUCUAUAUGAAUACAUUUCCACUCUUUUAUAAUGAUAUUUUGGUGUCGUGUUUUCCAGGCAUUUAUGUAAGAGAGGACUUAUAUAACACUCUAGUGGUUGAUUUUAUGGAGGGUGCAAGUGAAGAUAUAAGAAUGUUAAAAUACAUAUAUGUGAUUUCUUUUGUAAGAUUCUUAUAUUUGAUUUCUUUUCUGUUAGAUUCUAAGUAUAUUGAAUGAAACUUUCUAUGUUGAAAUAUUUGAAUUUAAUAUAAGAUAAUUUUUUAA
Long non-coding RNA from Vicia villosa (hairy vetch), 1104 nucleotides. RefSeq lists it as uncharacterized. Lineage: Eukaryota; Viridiplantae; Streptophyta; Magnoliopsida; Fabales; Fabaceae. The record is from RefSeq and is a predicted model, not a curated record. The transcript is spliced from 4 exons.